Molecule: long non-coding RNA, 664 nt
Filed under: Homo sapiens (human)
Lineage: Eukaryota; Metazoa; Chordata; Mammalia; Primates; Hominidae
Description: HSALNT0357447
Source: RNAcentral
CAGUGUCUCGCCCACCCCCGCGGGGCCCGUCCGACUCGACGGAGUCUUGCUGUCACCCAGGCUGUAGUGCAGUGGCAUGAUCUCAGCUCACUGCAACCUCCACCUCCCAGGUUCAAGUGAUUCUCCUGCCUCAACCUCCCAAGUAGCUGGGACUACAGGAAUGCACCACUGCACCCAGCUAUUGGUUUCGCCAUGUUGGCCAGGCUGGUCUCAGAUUCCUGAUCUGUCCACCUCAGCCUCCCAAAGUGCUGGGAUUACAGUUUUGUUUUAGGUGCUGUCUCUCCUGUUGUUGUUGUCCUUUACACGAUGGUGUUGCAAGAAAAUGGAUAUGGUGUUGAGGAAGACAUUCCAACAUUACUAAUGGCUGCUAGCAGUAUGGAUGACAUUCUGGCUAUCACUGGAUUCAAUACAUGCUUGAGCAUAGUCUUCUCCUCGGGCUGUGCUAGGUCCUCUGGCUCUAGAAACAGCAAGAGUCUCCGCACCCCACUUGGAACCAUAUGCGAAGGAUGUGAUGACAGUAGCAUUUUUAGCCAUCUCGAUCACAGCUCCAAAUGGAGCUCUACUUAUGGGCAUUCUGGGGCCUAAAAUGCUUACACACCAUUAUGAUCCAAGCAAAAUAAAACUGCAAUUGUCAACAUUAGAACAUCAUUAAAAAGUUUACCUG